AUCGCUUCUCAGCCUUUUGGCUAAGAUCAAGUGUAGCAUCUGUUCUUAUCAGUUUAAUAUCUGAUACGUCCUCUAUCGGAGGACAAUAUAUUAAAUAGAUUUUUGGAGCUGGGAGAUGGAAUAGGAGCUUGCUUUGUCCACUCCACACAAUGACCUGGUAUUGCAGUACCUCCAGGAACGGUGCACCCCCU
This 191-nucleotide small nuclear RNA is filed under the name Octodon degus (degu). RNAcentral describes it as "U2 spliceosomal RNA (ENSODEG00000023861.1)". It matches the Rfam family "U2 spliceosomal RNA". Rfam says of the family: U2 is a small nuclear RNA (snRNA) component of the spliceosome (involved in pre-mRNA splicing). Complementary binding between U2 snRNA (in an area lying towards the 5' end but 3' to hairpin I) and the branchpoint sequence (BPS) of the intron results the bulging out of an unpaired adenosine, on the BPS, which initiates a nucleophilic attack at the intronic 5' splice site, thus starting the first of two transesterification reactions that mediate splicing. The record is from Rfam by way of RNAcentral. Lineage: Eukaryota; Metazoa; Chordata; Mammalia; Rodentia; Octodontidae.